Molecule: ribosomal RNA, 538 nt
Filed under: uncultured bacterium
Lineage: Bacteria
Description: partial 16S ribosomal RNA
Rfam family: Bacterial small subunit ribosomal RNA
Source: RNAcentral
UGGGGAAUAUUGGACAAUGGGCGCAAGCCUGAUCCAGCCAUGCCGCGUGAGUGAUGAAGGCCUUAGGGUUGUAAAGCUCUUUCGCCGGUGAAGAUAAUGACGGUAACCGGAGAAGAAGCCCCGGCUAACUUCGUGCCAGCAGCCGCGGUAAUACGAAGGGGGCUAGCGUUGCUCGGAAUCACUGGGCGUAAAGCGCACGUAGGCGGAUCGUUAAGUCAGGGGUGAAAUCCUGGAGCUCAACUCCAGAACUGCCCUUGAUACUGGCGAUCUCGAGUUCGAGAGAGGUUGGUGGAACUCCGAGUGUAGAGGUGAAAUUCGUAGAUAUUCGGAAGAACACCAGUGGCGAAGGCGGCCAACUGGCUCGAUACUGACGCUGAGGUGCGAAAGCGUGGGGAGCAAAACAGGAUUAGAUACCCUGGUAGUCCACGCCGUAAACGAUGGAUGCUAGCCGUUGGGGGGUUUGACCUCUCAGUGGCGCAGCUAACGCCUUAAGCAUCCCGCCUGGGGAGUACGGUCGCAAGAUUAAAACUCAAAUGAA